UGGCUAGUGGCGAACGGGUGAGUAAUGCGUCGGAACGUGCCGAGUAAUGGGGGAUAACGCAGCGAAAGUUGUGCUAAUACCGCAUACGCCCUGAGGGGGAAAGUGGGGGAUCGCAAGACCUCACGUUAUUCGAGCGGCCGACGUCUGAUCAGCUAGUUGGCGGGGUAAUGGCCCACCAAGGCUACGACGGGUAGCUGGUCUUAGAGGACGACCAGCCACACUGGAACUGAGACACGGUCCAGACACCUACGGGUGGCAGCAGUCGAGAAUCUUUCACAAUGGGGGCAACCCUGAUGGAGCGACGCCGCGUGGAGGAUAAGGUCUUCGGAUUGUAAACUCCUGUCAUGCGAGAACAAGGUUGCAUAGCUAACACCUUUGCAAAUUGAUGGUACCGCAAGAGGAAGAGACGGCUAACUCUGUGCCAGCAGCCGCGGUAAUACAGAGGUCUCAAGCGUUGUUCGGAAUCACUGGGCGUAAAGGGUGCGUAGGUGGCGUGGUAAGUCAGAUGUGAAAGCCCGGGGCUCAACCUCGGAAUUGCAUCCGAUACUACCAUGCUAGAGUACUGAAGAGGUGACUAGAAUUCUAGGUGUAGCAGUGAAAUGCGCAGAUAUCUAGAGGAAUACCAACGGCGAAGGCAGGUCACUGGGCAGUUACUGACACUGAGGCACGAAGGCCAGGGGAGCAAACGGGAUUAGAUACCCCGGUAGUCCUGGCAGUAAACGGUGCACGUUUGGUGUGGGCGCAAUCGACCGCGUCCGCGCCGGAGCUAACGCGUUAAACGUGCCGCCUGGAAGUACGGUCGCAAGAUUAAAACUCAAAGGAAAUUGACGGGGACCCGCACAAGCGGUGGAGUAUGUGGCUUAAUUCGAUGCUACGCGAAGAACCUUACCUGGUCUUGACAUGCAUUGUGUCUCCGCUGAAAGUCGUAUAGGUUACUAUACCGCUUUGGCACAGUUUCNCAGUUCACGUCGGUGCUUCUUAUAAAAUUUCUCC
This 993-nucleotide ribosomal RNA is filed under the name uncultured Prosthecobacter sp. RNAcentral's name for it is "bacterial SSU rRNA". It matches the Rfam family "Bacterial small subunit ribosomal RNA", at positions 89 to 1079 of the family's 1533-position model. The record is from RNAcentral. Lineage: Bacteria; Pseudomonadati; Verrucomicrobiota; Verrucomicrobiia; Verrucomicrobiales; Verrucomicrobiaceae.